AGAGUUUGAUCCUGGCUCAGGAUGAACGCUGGCGGCAGGCCUUAUACAUGCAAGUCGAACGGCAGCACAAAGAUUAGCUUGCUAAUCUUGGUGGCGAGUGGCAAACGAGUGAGUAAUAUAUAGGAACUUCCUUCAAGUAGAACAUAGCCAGUCGAAAGAUUGGGUAAUAUUCUAUGUGGUUGCAAAACUAAAGACGUGAGUCGCUUGAAGCAAGGCCUAUAUCCCAUCAGCUAGUUGGUAAGGUAAUGGCUUACCAAGGCUAAGACGGGUAGCUGGUCUGAGAGGAUGAUCAGCCACGCUGGGACUGCGACACGGCCCAGACACCUACGGGUGGCAGCAGUAGGGAAUUUUCCGCAAUGGGCAAAAGCCUGACGGAGCCAUGCCGCGUGCAGGAUGAAGGCCUUUGGGUUGUAAACUGCUGUGGUAGUUAUCUAAUAAAUGAAGUGACUACUAGAAAGAGGUUGCUAACUCUGUGCCAGCAGCAGCGGUGAUACAGAGACCUCAAGCGUUAUCCGGAAUUAUUGGGCGUAAAGCGUUCCGAUCGGUGGUUAGAUGUGUCUAAAAUUAAAGACCGGAGCUUAACUCCGUGUUAGUUUUAGAAACUAUCUAACUAGAAGAAUAAAGAGGUGGCUGGAACUCUGCAAGUACCGGUGAAAUGGGUUGAUAUGCAGGGGAACACCGAAAGCGAAGGCAGGCCACUAGGUAUUUCUUGACACUGCUAGGACGAAAGCGUGGGGAGCGAAGCGGAUUAGAUACCCGCGUAGUCCACGCCCUAAACGAUGAGUGUUUGUUUUUGGAGAGAGUCAACCCUCUUCAGAGGCGUAGCUAACGCGUUAAACACUCCGCCUGUAGAGUACGGUCGCAAGGCUAAAACAUAAAGGAAUUGACGGGAACCCGCACAAGCGGUGGAUCAUGUGGCUUAAUUCGAUAGUGAGCGGCGAACCUUACCUAGGCUUGACAUGCUACUGCUAAUCCUACGAAAGUAGGACUCCUUCGAGGGUGUAGCACAGGUGAUGCACGGUCGUCGUCAGCUCGUGUCGUGAGAUGUUCGGUUAAGUCCGGCAACGAGCGCAACCCUAAUCCUUAGUUAUUUAAUGUCUAAGGAGACUGCCCGAGUUUAAUCGGGAGGAAGGUUAGGAUGACGUCAGAUCAGCGUGUCCCUUACGUCUAGGGCGGCACACAUGAUACAAUGGGUAGAGUACAGCGGGACUGCCAAGUCGCGAGACGGAGCAAAUCCUUCAAAACUCCCCUCAGUACGGAUCGAAGUCUGCAACCCGACUUCGUGAAGCUGGAAUCGCUAGUAAUCGCCGAUCAGCCAUGCGGCGGUGAAUACGUUCUCGGGUUUUGUACACACUGCCCGUCACGGCCUGGGAAUUGGAAAAGCCCCAAAACUCCAUUUAUGGAGUCGAAGGCUAGUCCAUUGACUGGGUUGAAGUCGUAACAAGGCAUCCGUAGCGGAAGCUGUGGAUG
This 1470-nucleotide ribosomal RNA is filed under the name Patescibacteria group bacterium. Its description in RNAcentral is "bacterial SSU rRNA". It matches the Rfam family "Bacterial small subunit ribosomal RNA". The record is from RNAcentral. RNAcentral also lists the same sequence under 1 other name.